UUCCUUCUUCCUCCCGCGCGCAACCCCUUUCCCCUUCAUUUUUUUUUUCUUCUAUUUCCUCCUUCACCGUGCCCUACCUCCAGCCGCACCCUCCAACCGUCGCUCUCCUCCUUCUUUUCUUCUCCGAUCCACGGCCGCCGCCCCUAUUCUUCUUCCGUUUCUCUUUCUUUUCCACCAUACCCAGCCGCCGCUGCAACCGUCGGCCGCCGUCUCUGUUCGCGAAGCAAGGCCGCCGCGUGACUUUCCGCCCAGCGCCGUUUGACUCUCUGCCCAGCGCCGCGCACCUCUGUCUCCGCGCCGUUGCUCUGUCUCCGUCGAAGCCAAGCCCAGCCGCCGUCUCUAUCUUCGUUCGCGAAGCAAACCGCACGCCUCAUUCACGAACAGCCUCGCCGACGCAGGUCACGCCGCAUCGCACGAGUUCGGCUACAUUGCCGGGCUACUCCCGUCCGCGCGUAACUGCUGUUGAACGUCCGAACCAUUCUGCCUUCGUCAGUACCCGCUGUCCCAUUUACGAAUCGCGGACCGAUUCGCGUGCAGAUUUGUUUUGCACGAUUUCUUUUGUGUAGAUCAUGCCACAACUUCUAUUUUAACGUCGAUUGUCAAAGUCUUGUUAUAAGUUAUUGGCGACAUCGGUGAUUUGGAGUUAGUGUCCUUAAGUUACGCCUUAAGCUUUGUUGGAGUUCGAUUCUUUACUCUUUGGGGUACCAAGGAAUUUUACAUAAAAUCGAGCAAAGGUAAUAAAGACGGCAAACCGGCGAGGGGCAAGAAGGAAGCGUGAUUGCCAUAGGAAAUGUGUUAUUUGCUUCCGCUUAUUGUUUUUUUUUUUGAGGUUUAAGACGUUGUAUUGAAUCUUAGCUUACAAACUUUUAUUUGUAAAUAGUAUUUUUUUUUUAAGUUUUUGAAUAUGUGAAAAUCAGGCCUGACUUAA
Cucumis sativus (cucumber) is the source of this 928-nucleotide long non-coding RNA. RefSeq lists it as uncharacterized. The transcript is spliced from 3 exons. Lineage: Eukaryota; Viridiplantae; Streptophyta; Magnoliopsida; Cucurbitales; Cucurbitaceae. The record is from RefSeq and is a predicted model, not a curated record.